AUAUAAACCCCUUAUGUUUCGAAGUAAUAUUGUCGGAAAAAUCAUUUUCAUUCUAUAUCUUUGCAAGAAGGAAAAGAGAGAAAUUUGUGGCUCCAAUUUUCAGGUUGCAAAAUGAGUGAGAGUGAGCAAAAAGAGCAACAAAGUAAAGCUGAGGAGGGGUUGGAGAAUAAGAAAGACGAAUUUGUUGAGGCCUUGGAGAAGAACAAGGAUGAGCAAGGGCUGCGGGAAGCUUUCGGCGUCCUCGCCAAGGGUUCGCCCACGACUUGCAUCAAGCCCGUCCAUCUUCAUCGCGCACUCGCUAUUCGAGGUCAGGAAAUCUCUCUUCAAAAGACUGAGACUAUUAUUCAACAACUCAAUAAAGAAGGGACAUUUAGCUGCGACGACUUUGUGCGUAUUGUCAAUGUGAUCCUGGCUAUGGGGGCCGUGAAGAAGAAUGACGUGGAAGGGCUGAAGAAAGCAUUUUGCGUCCUCACCAAAAGUGAUAAGCCCACAGCCAGAGUUGGUGUGGAAGAUGUUCAACUCGCACUCAUUAUUCCAGAAUCGGAGCUCUUGCUUCACAACGCAAAACAGAUGGUUCAAGAAGUUAAUGUACAAGGAUCCUUUAAUUGUCACGAGUUUUUGGACCUUUUCAAGUUGUUGGAGGAGCCCGGUGAACCAAAUCAGACGAAGAAAAUAUACGAAAAAUUAAAGCAUUUAGAAGAGAAGGAGACGAUUAUUGUGUAUGGCAGAGAGGGAGUGGGGAAAACAUGGGCGGCAAGAGAAGUGGCGAAUCUUGCAGUGAGAAAGCAUGAUCUUGAUGCUGCAAAAAAGGACGAUUCCGAUGCUAAAAAAAAGGACGUUGAAGGUUUUGAUGCUGCCAUUUGGGUUUAUCUCAACAGGAUUUACAAAGAUGAUGAUUUGAGCCUUCAAAAGAGCAUUGCUUAUCAAUUGUUUGUGCUUGCUGAUUUUGAGGAUGCAGAGGCGAAGAAGGCUGACGAGAAGAAGAAGAAGGAGCUCGAGAAGAAGGCCGAGGGGCAGGAGGAGAUUCCUAAGAAGAACAAGGCUGAAGAGGAGACUGAUGAUAAGAAGGAAGCCGAGAGAAAGCGACAAGAUAUUGAGGAAUUGAUUGUUAAGAAUCUCGAUAAGAAGAAUAUUCUUUUUGUGGUGGAUGGUGAUAGUUAUGGGAGAAAAUUAAAAGCAGAGGUCGUGACUGAGAUGAAAGCUAAAGAGGUCGUGACUGGGAUGAAUAAGAUGAAAGAUAAGAGCGGUGAUGGAGGAAACAAAGUAGAAGAAGAAAAAGAGCGCAGUGAUGGAAAAAAGAAUGGAGAAGAAGAAACAAAGGGUGGUGAUGGAAAAAAGAAUGGAGAAGAAAAGAAAGAGGGUGGUGAUGGAAAAGUUAAAGUAGAAGAAGAAAAGAUUGUUGUUUUAAAGUUAGAAGCUGGUGAAGAACCGGUAGUGAGACUGGAGUUAGGUGCCUUGAAAUCUUACAAAGUUAUGAAAACUGUGAGAAAAGAUGAAAUCGAGCAAGGGAUGAAUGGGGUGAUGGUGAAACCCUUCACCUGGGAAGAAUCCAAGUCAUUGGCAACUCGAGCCACGAAGACAGAGGGAGUCUUAGACGAGUACAGUGAAGAAGCCGAAAAAUUAGCUCGUUAUUUCAUGUUUAGGAGCGAGAGGCUUCCAGCUCAGCUUCUCUUGAUAAGCAGAAUCGUGAGCUACAUUGGUAAGAAAGGCAAGUUGGAAUUGCGAAAGCUGAGAAACGACAUAGCUACGAUCAAGAAAGGAGAAGAAGGUGUGGAGUGGUGGGAUGUGCUGAUCAAGAGGUACGAGGAGAGGCUCCCGAAGAGCGUCCUGAUCGACUGCUACGACCGGAACAGGCCCGAGAACCACUUCAUGCAUGGAGGCAGAGCAGUGAGCUUCAACGAGGUGAUCUGCUACUGGAUCAUGGAGGGCCAUCUCGGCUCCUUUGAUCGUGUCGAUGAGGCCUACCACAAGGGCCACCGUGUCUUGAUGGAGCUCAUGGACUGCGGCCUCCUGCAGAAGCAGGAGGCCGACUACAUUACACCCACCGGUGCUUUAAUGAAAUUCACAUUCCACAUCAAUGACUACAAGGACUUCUUCAGUGGCAUCCGCCCCGGGAUAGGUGUCACAUUCGACAUGAGCCUAGGGAGGGUCGCGCUCGCAGAUGGAAUGAUCAGAACAAUCAACACCAGCACCAGCACCAGUCACCAAAAACAGAUAAUAUCCGCACUGCUGCUUGAUGGCAACCGCAUUGGUCGAGAGGAACGCCCCACAGAGAGAUUGUGGGAGCACAAGGAUGAGGUCGAGAUACUCGCCAUCUCCGAUCCUACUAGCCAGCAUUUCAAGCUUCCCAUUCUUGAAAUGAAGAUGCUCCGCUUCCUGGCCCUCCGAGGCUGCAAGUUUCUCGAAAGCCUCGAGCCUUUCCUUGAGAAAAAACACGAUCAAGAGAAGGAACAAUCUCCUCAGAAAAGUGACAAAGAGAAUGAUAAAUCUUCUCAGGCGCCCCCGGCCCGGAUUUCUGAGAAGCUGGAAGGGCUCAACGUUCUUGAGAUAUCUGGUCCCAGUUUACAGAUACAAGAUAUACCUGACGAUCUCUUCACCCUCAUGCCUAACCUUAAAACACUAAACUUGUCUCAUCUUCUCAAUGUCAAGUCGCUGCCUUCGUCUUUCUACAACACCUCAACUCAAAUUGAGUUUCUCAUCCUGAGAGGAUGUAAGAGCCUCCAAGAGUUGAAGAGCCUCAAAGGCUUCAAAGAUCUGAAGGUUCUAGACGUUUCCGAGGCCACCUCUUUCGAGAAGUUUGAGGACAAGAGCCUCCAUUCCAACACAAAGCUCCAAGUCCUUAACCUCUCCAAAACCAAUCUCAAGACACUGCCUCUGAUCAACCAGUUGAAGGACCUCAAAUUCGUGUGGUUGAGAGAUUGCAUAGUGCUGCCGAGGAUACGCAAGAUCGACAAAAUGGACAAGCUUGAGAUUUUCGACAUUUCAGGUGCUGGAGAGGUGGAACGCUUCUGCGAUCCAUCGUUGGAAGAUCUCAAGAAACUUAAGAUCGUUGAUAUCUCGCGCACGAAGAUCAGACGGCUGCCUGCCAACCUCGGUGAUCCGAUAUAUCUGUAUGCCAGAAGUUGCCUCAAGCUCAAAGUAGUGCCACCUGUAGAAGAACUCAACAAACUCGAAGUUCUCGAUCUCUCGGGCUGUCAUCGUCUGACAGAGGUCAGAACAGAAUUCUUUGCCAAUGUGCAUGACCUCAGAGAAUUAAACCUCUCCGAAACGGGCGUCCGACUUCUCCCCUUCCUCGGUGACCGCAUCUCUCUUCGUCGUUUGUUGCUGUCAGGAUGCGAGUCCUUGGAGAAGGUGGACAGGUUGAGUUGUCUGAAAGAGCUGGAAUUCCUCGAUCUUUCGGGUUGUAAGAAGCUGAUGGAGUUGGAAGGCGGAACAUUCGACGAAAUGAAGCAUCUCGAGCAGCUUAACCUGUCUGGAACUGGCAUCGGAGGCCAGCAGAAGCCACUGCCAUCCCUGUCCAAACUGGAGAGUCUCAAACAGCUUCAUGUUAGAGACUGUCCUAAUCUGACCGAGUUGCCGGGGGUGGAACAAGUUCCAAAGCUUCAAGUUCUAGAUUGUUCCGGAACUGUUCUAGAAUUACCACCUUUCAGCAAGGAUCAUCCUCCACGCGUAGUUGGAGCAGGUAUAGAAAGCAUCGAUACCGUGCAGCUGUUCAGAAAUCUCGGUGCUGAGCCAAUGCAGGGUGAUGAUCAAGGUGCAAAAAGGGGUUUUAAACAUGAGGAUGUGAGGAAAUGCAAAUGGAUCAUUUCGAAUUGGCGAACCAGUGAUGCAGAGAAGCUCGGGACGCCUGUUUAUGGCGCCCAUUUCCAUCGCCUGUUGAAUGACUAUCCAUCGUUUCUGACGCGGAACUUGAGUAGUUUCUGUUUUCUUGUUUAUCCAUCUGAAGCAGAAGCCAAAGUCGGAGAUAGAUUUCGCCAGGAUUACAUUGAUGAAGUGAGUUUAAGAGAGAUUUAUUUCGAGCAAGUUUGCGCAGAGAAGAUGAAGAGGUGUUUGGAGAUUCGCGAAUUCAAGGAGCUUCCAGAUACUCUUCGUCCGCUGAUAGAGCAGGCUCAGUUGGUCGUGCUCGUGGAUGAUCAGUUUUUGAAGACGUUGCUUGAUUUGCGGGUUGCUAGCACCAUGUCUAUGUCUAUGAAGGCGUGUUGGAUUGAGAGCUGCAGUGAGUUGACGCAUGUCGUUGCUGCCCCUCCGAAGGUGGAGGAGAAAACGGGAGAGGCAGGGAAAGGUGAAGGGGAGCAGCAGAAGAAAGGCAAUCAGCACAAGAAGGUUGCUGCGGUGAAAGAUCAGAGGAAGAAUGCUGCAGAUGGAAAAGCAGGAGGGCCGGCUAAGAGUGCAGAGGAUAAAUCUGGAGAGCCUGCAAAAGGCCAAGGCAAUGAACCUCUUAAGAAUGCUGCUGCGGAUAAUUCGGGAGAGUCUGCAAAAGGCCAAGGCGGUCAACAGAAGAUUGCUGCAGAGGAAAAAUCAGGAGAUGCGGCAAAAAUAGGAGGUGAUGAACAUAUGAAUGCUGCUGCGGAUAAUUCAAGAGAGUCUGCAAAAGGCCAAGGCGAUGAGCAGAAGAAUGCUGCAGAGCAAAAAUCUGGAGAUUCUGCCAAGAGUGAAGGCGAUCAGCAGAAAACUACUGCUGCAGACUAUAAAUCAGGAGAUACAGCAAAAAUUGGAGGAGAUGAACCUAAGAAUACUGCUGCAGAUAAUUCAGGAGAGUCUGCAAAAGGCGAAGGCGAUGAGCAGAAGAAUGAUGCAGACGAAAAAUCAGGAGAUGCAGCCAAGAGUGAAGGUGAUCAGCAGAAUUCUUCUGCUGCAGAUACAGCAAAAAUCGGAGGUGAUGAGCAGAAGAAUGCUGCAGAGAAAAAAUCUGGAGAUGCAGUAAAGAGUGAAGGCGAAAAGCAGAAUGCUGCUGCAGAUACAGCGAAAAUCGGAGGUGAUGAGCAGAAGAAUGCUGCAGAGCUAAAAGCAGGAGAUUCAGAUCAGCAGAGUACUACUGCUGCACACGAGAAAUCAGGAGAGCCGGCAAAGAAUGAAGCCGAUCAACCUAAGAAUGCUGCUGCAGAUGAGAAAAGCGGAGGCGACCAGCAGAAGAAUACUGCAGAGGAAAAAUCAGGAGAGGCAGCAAAAAAUAAAGGCGAGGAGGCGAAAAAUCCUGCUGAAGAGCUAGAGACUUUAUGGAUUUCUGACGCUUCGAAGAUGAAAAGCGUAUGCGAAGGUGACAUCAAAAGCGUGAGCUUCAAAUUCCUCAAAUCACUAUACCUCGAAUACUGCCCAGAGCUCUCUGAAAUCUGCUCCUCAUCCCAGCAACUGGAAAGCCUGGAAACUCUCUUCAUCAAAUACUGCCAGAAACUAGAGAGGCUUUUCACAGACGAAAAGCCAUCCGAGAUGAAGAGGCUACGCCACCUGCAGCUAUGGGGGCUAGACAAGCUGCAGAAGAUCAACUGCAAGGCACCAUUGCUGAGCAAGCUCGGGGUCGGGGAAUGCCCUUUGCUCGAGCACGUGCUUCCAUCAAGAGUAAACGUCUCACAAGUAGAAAACGAAGGUCAUGAGAACCUCGAGAUCCUCCACAUCAAGUCCUGUGACAAUCUGAAGAGUAUUUUCGAGUCACCAUCACCAUCACCAUCACAAGAUGAUGAUGGUGUGGUCUUCGAUAAGCUAAGAGAACUGGAGCUGUCGGGCUUGCCCCAGCUGCAGAAGGUUGUCAAGGAAGCGUUGAGGCUCUGCGUCUUGAGAGUCCGCGACUGCCCCUCUUUGACCAGUGUCAUCGCUGGUGCAGAUGGAGUCCGUGAUCUGGAGACGCUGGAGGUGAAAACCUGUGAGAAAAUGGAGAAGAUCAUUGGAGGUGAGGGAUCCAAGUUGUUGGAAAAGGUUAGCAAAAUCGAGUUGCUGGGGUUGCCGGAGCUGGAGACUGUUGGAGCUACGCUGCCCAAAAAUGAAAGCGGCUACACUAUAUGGGCUUGCCCCAAACUGAAAACACUCCCAGUUUAGUGGAAAGAAGGAUCCAGUGACGUGAUUGGGUUUUUGGUGAAGGUGCCGGGAAAGAACUGGGGCAAUUGAAAAGUUCAAAAUAAGCAGAAACAUGUAACAUGAAGAAACCCAGGUUUAUUACUAUUCAAGCGAUUCACCGCCUUUUGGCUUAUAGGCGUAGUCGUGAUGCUCGAAGUGGAGGACGUCGUCAUGUAACUCCCUCGACGGAAUUCUUCGAACGCUUCAAUGAAUGGGCUUUAUCGCCAAUAUAGACAAAUUGUUGAAAUCAUAUUUUUUUUAAUAGGGCACCUGCAUGCGCCAACACUGGCUCGCAAAGGUGAGUUGCCGCAGUGAAAAUGCUCUAAAAUUUUUUGUGCAUGCGUCGGCACCUGGCUCACAAGCCCCCCUCCCCAACAGCGCUACACGACUCGUGCCUAUCCAACAAGCCACGAUGAAGAUGAUCUAAAACUUUUUGCGCAUGCAUCAACACUUGCGGGGUGAAAUCCAACCACGAAUUCUUUGAAAGUCGUUUGGAAUCUAUGUGAAUUCCAUGGAAUUUAAAUUUCAUGGACUUUUUAAAGUCUGUGGAAAUCCACAACGAAUACAACCCCCUUAGUUUGCAAGUCCCUCUCUUUCUUGACAAUAC
RNA transcript from Salvia miltiorrhiza (redroot sage), 6655 nucleotides. RefSeq lists it as uncharacterized. The transcript is spliced from 6 exons. The record is from RefSeq and is a predicted model, not a curated record. Lineage: Eukaryota; Viridiplantae; Streptophyta; Magnoliopsida; Lamiales; Lamiaceae.